GUGGAGCAUUUCAGCAGGACAUGCAUUGUGGUUUCAUUCUCCUCUUCACAGUUUCUGCACGUUGGGUGGAUAUGGUUAUUGAAACGGGCCAGGUUUGCUUUGAGCCUGUUGUGGCCUGUUCUUAGCCUGAAAAGUACCCUGGAGAUGUAUCUGGAUUUGUGUGCGUGCCAUUUAAGUGGGCCAGUUCGGUGUCUCCUCUGUAUGCCCUGAAGAUGGAGCUUUGUUCUGUGGCAGAUAGUUGGUUGCUGAUGAGUCUGCCGAUGUCUUGUCUUGAGCUUUCUUCUGAUGCUAGCUUAUCUGCCUUUUCGUUUCCUGCUAUUCCGAUAUGGCUUGGCACCCAGUAGAGAUUGACUUUGGGUUGUCAAUGGUUUGGAGGAUUGAUCUGGAGUCUGUGAUUAUGGUAUCCUGGUGCCUGAUAGGAAUAGCAAUGGUUGAGACUGAGGGCGUUUUUGUCUGGUGAAGUUUACCAUGUUGGAUUUUGCAGCCGAGAACUUGACGCGCCAUUUCUUGCUCCAUUUGCUUAUGGAUUCUA
Long non-coding RNA from Daphnia magna, 532 nucleotides. RefSeq lists it as uncharacterized. Lineage: Eukaryota; Metazoa; Arthropoda; Branchiopoda; Diplostraca; Daphniidae. The record is from RefSeq and is a predicted model, not a curated record. The transcript has 4 exons.